This 546-nucleotide ribosomal RNA is filed under the name uncultured archaeon. RNAcentral describes it as "bacterial SSU rRNA". It matches the Rfam family "Archaeal small subunit ribosomal RNA", at positions 333 to 879 of the family's 1478-position model. The record is from RNAcentral.
CACCAGGCGCGAAAACUCUACAAUGCAGGCAACUGCGAUAGGGGAACAUCGAGUGAUCCUCAUAUUGGGGGUCUGUCCACCCGUCUAAAAAACGGGUGUUAGCAAGGGCCGGGCAAGACCGGUGCCAGCCGCCGCGGUAAUACCGGCGGCUCGAGUGGUGGCCGAUAUUAUUGAGUCUAAAGGGUCCGUAGCCGGCUUUGCAAGUCUCUCGGGAAAUCCAGCGGCUUAACCGUUGGUCGUCCGGGGGGUACUACAUUGCUUGGGACUGGGAGAGGUAGGAGGUACUCAGGGGGUAGGAGUGAAAUCCUGUAAUCCUUUGGGGACCACCGGUGGCGAAGGCGUCCUACCAGAACAGGUCCGACGGUGAGGGACGAAAGCUAGGGGCACGAACCGGAUUAGAUACCCGGGUAGUCCUAGCCGUAAACGAUGCUCGCUAGGUGUCACAACAGUCGUGAACUGUUGUGGUGCCGUAGGGAAGCCGUGAAGCGAGCCACUUGGGAAGUACGACCGCAAGGUUGAAACUUAAAGGAAUUGGCGGGGGAGCAC